UUUCAUUUUUCGGUGGAGUAUCUCUUUAAGGGAUCUGUAGACUUGCUGCACUUGUUAGCUGAUUAUCCCCCUCAGAUUGUAAUCUUGAUUGUAUUUCAGGAAACUAUUUCAUGAAGUUGGUUGAAAUGACGCCCAAUGGUGAAAAGAACCACAGAUCUAACUACUCAUUGAAGGUCUGCUGUUCUUCGUGGUCUUCCCCUGUACUUGAGAGAGCCAGCUUCAAUUUCAAAGACUAUUAAGGAUACUGAGGCACUGGGGCCACACACAAAGGCCAUUAAAUGGGGAUCCUGGAAGUGACUGACAGUUCUACCAACUCAGGACCAUAUCCCACAGUGGUCAAUGUGGCUGUAGUACUGGAGGAGGAAGUUGUCAUGGACAAUCUGGGAGACUUCACAAAUGCCCUCAUGAUGUUUGUUUCGGCACUGGUUGAAUACUUGUGUAAUAUUUUACUUGAGCCUAACAGGCAAAUUCAUAUGUAUUUAAAUAAAUACAUAAAAUGUUUUUUAUCAAAGCAUUGUGUGUAAUUUAUUUGAAAUAAUGAAAAAUAAAGUAUUUUGACCAAGAUUAAAUAUUUAAUACAACAUUUUAUUUCAAUUUGAGUCUGCUUGUUGGCCCAACAAGCUAUGUUUAGUCAACAGAAAAUAUUUAAUUGACACAACAUUCUAUUUCAAGUUCAGUCUACAUGCAGGGGUAGUCCGCACAACACAAAAAUGUUGGUUUCCGCAACUUAAAUUGGGCCAACUAAAAAUUUUAGGUGCAACGGGUCACUAGACAUUUUUAUGUUGGAGAGGCAUAUUUUUUUUUAC
This is a long non-coding RNA of Carassius gibelio (silver crucian carp), 806 nucleotides long. RefSeq lists it as uncharacterized. NCBI's taxonomy places the organism in Eukaryota, Metazoa, Chordata, Actinopteri, Cypriniformes, Cyprinidae. The transcript is spliced from 3 exons. The record is from RefSeq and is a predicted model, not a curated record.